AGUAGGGCGGGACACGUGUUAUCCUGUCUGAAUAUGGGGGGACCAUCCUCCAAGGCUAAAUACUCCUGACUGACCGAUAGUGAACCAGUACCGUGAGGGAAAGGCGAAAAGAACCCCUGUGAGGGGAGUGAAAUAGAACCUGAAACCGUGUACGUACAAGCAGUAGGAGCACCUUCGUGGUGUGACUGCGUACCUUUUGUAUAAUGGGUCAGCGACUUAUAUUCAGUGGCAAGGUUAACCAUCUAGGGGAGCCGUAGGGAAACCGAGUCUUAACUGGGCGCCAUAGUCUCUGGAUAUAGACCCGAAACCGAGUGAUCUAGCCAUGGGCAGGUUGAAGGUUGAGUAACAUCAACUGGAGGACCGAACCGACUAAUGUUGAAAAAUUAGCGGAUGACUUGUGGCUAGGGGUGAAAGGCCAAUCAAACUCGGAGAUAGCUGGUUCUCCCCGAAAGCUAUUUAGGUAGCGCCUCGGACGAAUACUACUGGGGGUAGAGCACUGUUAAGGCUAGGGGGUCAUCCCGACUUACCAACCCUUUGCAAACUCCGAAUACCAGUAAGUACUAUCCGGGAGACACACGGCGGGUGCUAACGUCCGUCGUGGAGAGGGAAACAACCCAGACCGC
RNAcentral lists this ribosomal RNA (623 nucleotides) under Vibrio vulnificus. RNAcentral describes it as "partial 23S ribosomal RNA". It matches the Rfam family "Bacterial large subunit ribosomal RNA", at positions 411 to 1035 of the family's 2925-position model. Lineage: Bacteria; Pseudomonadati; Pseudomonadota; Gammaproteobacteria; Vibrionales; Vibrionaceae. The record is from RNAcentral.